UUUUUUUGAGAAUUUGAUCCUGGUUCAGGAUGAACGCUGGCGGUGUGCCUUAAGCAUGCAAGUCGAACGGUAUAUUGUUGGACUUUGGAUGACUCAACGGCACGAUCGCUCUUUUAUAGAGUAAUUUGUGUUGUUGAUUCCAAAGUCNNNNNNNNNNNAUGUGAUCGCAAGAUCAAAGCCGUAAGGCGCGAAGAGAGGGGCCUGCGUCCCAUCAGCUAGUUGGCGGGGUAAACGCCCACCAAGGCAACGACGGGUAGCCGGUGUGAGAGCAUGGCCGGCCACAAGGUCACUGAGACACGGGACCUACACCUACGGGUGGCAGCAACUGGGAAUCUUGCGCAAUGGACGAAAGUCUGACGCAGCGACACCGCGUGUGGGAAGAAGGCCUUCGGGUUGUAAACCACUGUGGCGAGGGAACAAAAAAAUGAGGGUACCUCGCUAGAAAGCACCUGCUAACUACGUGCCAGAAGCCUCGGUAAUACGUAGGGUGCAAGCGUUAUCCGGAUUUACUGGGCGUAAAGCGUCUCGAAGGUGGACGCGCGCGUGGCGGGUUUAAGCCCGGAGCUCAACUCCGGACCAGCUCGUCAUACGGCGUGUCUCGAGUCUGUUAGGGGGAAUCAGAAUUCUCGGUGUAGGGGUGAAAUCCGNNNNNNNNNNGAGGAAUGCCAAAAGCGAAGGCAGGUUCCUGGGACAGUACUGACACUCUAGGACGAAAGCCAGGGUAGCAAAAGGGAUUAGAGACCCCUGUAGUCCUGGCCCUAAACGAUGCUCGCUAGAUGGUUCACUUCGGUGGGCUGUCGUAAGCUAACGCGUUAAGCGAGCCGCCUGGGGAGUACGGCCGCAAGGCUAAAACUCAAAGGAAUU
Molecule: ribosomal RNA, 864 nt
Filed under: Candidatus Pacebacteria bacterium RIFOXYB1_FULL_44_10
Lineage: Bacteria; Bacillati; Minisyncoccota
Description: partial 16S ribosomal RNA
Rfam family: Bacterial small subunit ribosomal RNA
Source: RNAcentral